This is a non-coding RNA of Podarcis muralis (Common wall lizard), 2969 nucleotides long. Lineage: Eukaryota; Metazoa; Chordata; Lepidosauria; Squamata; Lacertidae. The record is from RefSeq and is a predicted model, not a curated record.
AAUCGAAGUCCGACACAGCUACUGGCAUAAGCCGGGUGGUGGCAGGCUUGCUCUGUGGCAGCAACGUUGGGGCGCUAGGCGGCGUUGGACUACAACUCCCGUCAUUCCUAGCUAGCGUAGCCCGCACCUAGGGAUGAUGGGAGUUGUGGUUGAAGAACAGCUGGCUGCUCCACAGCCUUGGCCCUGAGGCACGAGGAGGAGGAAGCUUGCCCCGUCCAGAAAAUGGCCCUUUGAGGGCGAGGGCUCUUGGUUAGCGGUGACUCAUGAGGGCUGUACUAGGCUAACGCCCUUUUGAAGAUAUUUUCCUGAUAGGUGCCAAAUAACUCAUUUAUUAGGCUCAUGGCAUGGAGUUUUUAUUGGUGGGAGCAGUUGUCGUUGCCCUUCUCGGCCUUCAAAGAUUUAUUGCUUUACAAAAAAGAGCAAACGCCAGAAUAUGCCAAUCCCCAAUCACGUUUACUCGGAAAUAAUUCCUGUUUACUGCUAAAACAGCAUCCCAGACAACCCCUUAUUGGGCAUAUUAGUGUCCAGUUCGGGCACGCAGACGACUGCAGCCCCACCAUGGCAAUACCAGGCAUAUUUACUCGGAAGAAGCCUCCUUGAACAUGCGGGGCAUAUUGACUGUCUUCAGGCCUAUGUACACCCGCAUGGAAGGGGCUGCGCAAUUUCUUAACGGCAUCUACUCAAGUCCUAUUGAAUUAAGUGGGGUUUAUUCCCAGGCUUAUCCCUCCUGUCUGCAACUCAACCAUACAGUUUACAGUUACGCAGCAGAGAAAUAAAGUUUCUGCAUGGAAUACUUAAGCAUGUUUUCAAAAUGGUAGAUGGAAAGCCAGAAUCCAGCUUGCUCUGAGGCCAGCAGGCCAGCCCGAGAGCCACCACUGCAGUUCCUCCUUGGGCUUUGUGCCUGGAGCCUAAGGACCUCUAGCUACUGAUUGCCACCAGCUGGGGAGAAAAGCAAAGAAAUGUGAUGUUGGAUUGCAGUGACCAGCACAGCAGCUUCUGGGAAGAAACACUCAUCUGACCAGUGGGACUUUGGAAUUGCAGCAGCAACAGCUUCUGAAGCUCACAACUAUUCUUAAUUAUUUGCUGCUGGUUUUUCAGGUGGCAGCAGCAACAGAGAAUUAGGGGCCUAAAAAUUACUAGUUAUGACACUGGCGUAUAUGGUUCUGUAGCACUAAGGCAGCCUGUACUCUGUAUAUAACCAGGGGUGGGCCCCUGUCUGCUUGUUCUCGCCUGCUUUACCCCUUAGGAAGCACAGUCUACUUCCUGAGGAACUAGAAAACGCAGAGAAUUUUAAAGAGGAAGAGAUGUUACUCUCACUAAUGCAACGUUAUGAUUCUUUGAUCUUGUGACUCCAAUGCGAGUUUGCUGACAAAACCUUAAAGAAGGCCUAAGCCCUGCUUUAGAGUCCAUCCUUGUUACCGGAUGGACACAGUUGGAAAAAAUAAAAGCCCUCUGCCAGUUCUCUCACUCAAGCAGCUCUUUUGCCAUUUACAAAUUGCCUCUGGACCUCCAAGGAAGAAAAUGGGUGUUAUCGGUGCCAUAGACUUCAAUUGGUUUAAUAGUAAUGAUCUUACCCAUAGGGCCCCCUGAUCAGAACUGGGACCAUUCUGCACCCCUGUGAACUUUUUGCUUCACAGAAGGAAAACCGCUAUUGGUGUUCAUUAUAGUCUUCCCUCCUGGGGCAAACAGAAGGGUAUGUGCAGUUCUUAUCUCCUGGUGCAGAAAAGGGGUUUAACCCACGUGUCACGUUCCAAAUCCUGACUGAGGGCCCUGUAAUGGGUUUUGUGUAAUGGUUAGUGUGUUGGACUAUGAUCUGGAACACCAGAGUUGGAAUCCCCACUCAGACAGGAAGCUAACUGGGUGACUUUGGGCCAGUCACGGUCUCUCCGCUUAACCUACCCUCACAGGGUUGUUGUGAGGAUAAAACUGGGAUAAGAGAACCAUGCUUACCAUCUUGAGAUCCUUGGAUGAAAAGGUGGUACACAAAUGUCAUCAGUCAAUCAAACAAACAAAUGUUAUAAGCAAUCAUACAUUUGACAUAACAUUUUAGUUCGCGUGCCUGGCUGCUAUGAAAAGUGAGAGCAGCAUAGCAGCUUUAAAAGGAAGGGGGAAAGGCAGAAGCUUGCCACUUUUUAGCAAUGGAUGCUGGUCCACUGAGGUUACUAAGGCACAAACCUCCCUAGGAAAAUGUUGAGCAUCUUUUCCUCUUCAAAAUCACUCUUCCCUGACCCCUCCCCCCCCAUUUUAUACUUCCUUGACCAUACAGGGACAUAUCUGCCAAUCUCCUAUUCUCUGGCCAAUCAGCUCUCUGCAUCACUCAGCCAAUCCUAAUCCAAAAGUAUGGCUAUGGCAAAGAGGUGCUUCCCAUGUGUCUCUAAGCAGGAAAAACCAUGUGACUGAUUGGAUUGCAGGAAAUUUAGCCCUAGCAGAAAGACUCUUAUUCCAUCUGUUAUUAUGGGGCCUGUCCAGCACAGUCACCAGAGCAGAUAUGGGAGAAGUCAGGAAUGCUUCCAAAACAGCCCUAUGUGCUAGCAUUAGCCCAUGCUUUCUCUGAAGGCCAGAGAAGCAUCAGGAAACACUUCCUCAUUUGAGGAGCAUUUUGUUUGUUUGUUUGCUGAGUUCAGUAUUGUUUUGUGACUUUGCUGGAAAGAGCAAGGAAGCAACAGCAAGUCUCUUUCAAUAAAUGAAUUUACUUAAUCGUUUUGCAUUUUGCAUGUAUCUUUCUGGGAGGCAAAAUAGUGGGUGGCUUCCGUAUAAAUUGCAACAAACUAUUAAUAAUUUCUCUAUAUUCAUUCAUUUAAAGCUGCUGUUACAGAAGCAGCUGACAGGGCAGGGCAAGGCAGAUAAGGUAGAUUUGAACUGUGUGUAAUUACAGAGUAUUUUCCAGAGUAUUUCCAGAAAAGGUGUGUGGAUCUGCUUCCAAGCAGCCCUUCCCCUAGCAGGGUAUAUAUCUUGAAUGCACAGGAAUU